AGUAACCUGGCGGCGUGCCUACACAUGCAAGUCGAACGGAGAUAUAACGCUGCAGAGACUUCGGUCAAAGCUUGUUGUAUCUUAGUGGCGGACGGGUGAGUAACGCGUGGGCAACCUGCCUCAUACUGGGGGAUAACAGUUGGAAACGGCUGUUAAUACCGCAUAAGCGCACAGAGUCGCAUGACUCAGUGUGAAAAACUCCGGUGGUAUGAGAUGGGCCCGCGUCAGAUUAGCCAGUUGGCGGGGUAACGGCCCACCAAAGCAACGAUCUGUAGCCGGACUGAGAGGUCGGACGGCCACAUUGGGACUGAGACACGGCCCAAACUCCUACGGGAGGCAGCAGUGGGGGAUAUUGCACAAUGGGGGAAACUCUGAUGCAGCGACGCCGCGUGAGUGAAGAAGUAUUUCGGUAUGUAAAGCUCUAUCAGCAGGGAAGAAAGGCUCGCAAGAGAGAUGACGGUACCUGACUAAGAAGCCCCGGCUAACUACGUGCCAGCAGCCGCGGUAAU
RNAcentral lists this ribosomal RNA (509 nucleotides) under uncultured bacterium. RNAcentral describes it as "bacterial SSU rRNA". It matches the Rfam family "Bacterial small subunit ribosomal RNA", at positions 36 to 524 of the family's 1533-position model. The record is from RNAcentral.